AUUGAACGCUGGCGGCAUGCCUUACACAUGCAAGUCGAACGGCAGCAUGGAGAGCUUGCUCUCUGAUGGCGAGUGGCGAACGGGUGAGUAAUGCAUCGGAACGUACCGUGUAAUGGGGGAUAACGUAGCGAAAGUUACGCUAAUACCGCAUACGACCUGAGGGUGAAAGCAGGGGAUCGCAAGACCUUGCGUUAUACGAGCGGCCGAUGUCAGAUUAGCUAGUUGGUGAGGGAAAGGCUCACCCAGGCGACGAUCUGUAGCGGGUCUGAGAGGAUGAUCCGCCACGCUGGGACUGAGACACGGCCCAGACUCCUACGGGAGGCAGCAGUGGGGAAUUUUGGACAAUGGGGGCAACCCUGAUCCAGCCAUGCCGCGUGAGUGAAGAAGGCCUUCGGGUUGUAAAGCUCUUUCGGCCGGGAAGAAAUCGCACAGGCUAAUACUCUGUGUGGAUGACGGUACCGGCAUAAGAAGCACCGGCUAACUACGUGCCAGCCGCCGCGGUAA
This 504-nucleotide ribosomal RNA is filed under the name uncultured bacterium. RNAcentral's name for it is "partial 16S ribosomal RNA". It matches the Rfam family "Bacterial small subunit ribosomal RNA", at positions 30 to 523 of the family's 1533-position model. The record is from RNAcentral.